AGGUUGGGCAGCAGGGCAGGUGCCAUCUGGAGCAGACAGGAGAGCCAGAGCUUUAAUCCACCUGCCUGUGAAACCCAUCCAGCUCUGGGAGACCUGAGCCAAGCCUGGUGACAGAACCAAAGGUCCCAGGGAAGCAUCCAGUACUUCCAGUUAGUGCGUUCCUCCUGACAGACAGGAAGACAUCCAGUGAACACCAUCCCACAGUGCAUGCCAGCCAACAGCUCUUUCUUGGAGCAGCUGCCAAAUAAAGAGAAACUUGGAACAGGCUGCUCACUAAGGAAGACAGGAAGCUCCGUGUCAAUAGCAGAAACUGAGGUGGUGCCCUGGCUUCCCCCUAGUCCUUCAUGGUACAGCGAAACCUCUUAGCCUCAGAGUCUAACUGUCACAGCCCUGAGCAUGCCUCCCAGCUCUCAGCAUUUAAGUUCUCUUACCAACCACCUACAGAGUCUGUGCAGACUGCGCGCAUGCCUUUGGUCUCUUGGUGGAGACUCAAUCACCAUUUGUUCGAGAAAUGCCUUUGCCUUUGGGGACUAAGUAACUAGACAUAGCAUAAUGACAUUUUCCCUCUUAUUGGUUAUUACCAAGAUUCUAAGAUCGCUCUUACGUGUGUCUCAACGCGUUAGCAUUAAAAGGACCGGUCAUAGUAGGAAGCAUUUGCAUGGUACAGCUGUUCUUUAAUAGACCUAUCCCAGCGAGUGUGCAGUUACGUAUUUGUGCACUGC
Microtus ochrogaster (prairie vole) is the source of this 722-nucleotide long non-coding RNA. RefSeq lists it as uncharacterized. The record is from RefSeq and is a predicted model, not a curated record. NCBI's taxonomy places the organism in Eukaryota, Metazoa, Chordata, Mammalia, Rodentia, Cricetidae. The transcript is spliced from 3 exons.